UUGAGAGUGAAUACUGGCUCGACAACACGUACAUAAGGACCGAUCUGUGGACUUCUGUUAAAGGCCUUGACUGUUCCCGCUAUGCGUUUGACCGCAUUCAAAUAAAUUGAGAAGCGAGUACGA
Penaeus indicus is the source of this 123-nucleotide long non-coding RNA. RefSeq lists it as uncharacterized. NCBI's taxonomy places the organism in Eukaryota, Metazoa, Arthropoda, Malacostraca, Decapoda, Penaeidae. The transcript has 2 exons. The record is from RefSeq and is a predicted model, not a curated record.